This 266-nucleotide ribosomal RNA is filed under the name uncultured soil bacterium. RNAcentral describes it as "partial 16S ribosomal RNA". It matches the Rfam family "Bacterial small subunit ribosomal RNA", at positions 26 to 285 of the family's 1533-position model. The record is from RNAcentral.
AGAAUCAACGCUGGCGGCGUGCCUAACACAUGCAAGUCGAACGCGAAAGGGGCUUCGGCCCUGAGUAGAGUGGCGAACGGGUGAGUAACACGUGGGUGAUCUACCUUUGAGUGGGGAUAACGUCCCGAAAGGCGCUAAUACCGCAUGACGUUCUGGGUUUGAAGACCUGGAAACCAAAGCCGGGACCGCAAGGCCUGGCGCUUGAAGAGGAGCCCGCGUCCGAUUAGCUAGUUGGCGGGUAAUGGCCCACAAGGCGACGAUCGGUA